RNAcentral lists this non-coding RNA (19 nucleotides) under Arabidopsis thaliana (thale cress). Lineage: Eukaryota; Viridiplantae; Streptophyta; Magnoliopsida; Brassicales; Brassicaceae. The record is from RNAcentral.
UAAAAGGGUAUUGUUGCAA